UCCCGCAACGAGCGCAACCCUCAUUCCCGGUAGCCAGCAGUAAGAUGGGGACUCCGGGGAGACUGCCGAGGAAGACUCGGAGGAAGGCGGGGAUGACGUCAAAUCAUCAUGCCCCUUAUGGUUUGGGCUACACACGUGCUACAAUGGCGCAGACAGAGGGAAGCAAGGCCGCGAGGCAGAGCAAAUCUCAAAAACUGCGUCUCAGUUCGGAUUGCAGGCUGCAACUCGCCUGCAUGAAGCCGGAAUCGCUAGUAAUCGCAGAUCAGAAUGCUGCGGUGAAUACGUUCCCGGGUCUUGUACACACCGCCCGUCACACCAUGGGAGUCGGCAAUGCCCGAAGUCGGUGGCCCAACCGUAAGGAGGGAGCUGCCGAAGGCAGACGAGUUCCG
This 389-nucleotide ribosomal RNA is filed under the name uncultured bacterium. RNAcentral's name for it is "bacterial SSU rRNA". It matches the Rfam family "Bacterial small subunit ribosomal RNA", at positions 1085 to 1477 of the family's 1533-position model. The record is from RNAcentral.